AGGACGAACGCUGGCGGCGUGCUUAACACAUGCAAGUCGAGCGGUAAGGCUCCUUCGGGAGUACACGAGCGGCGAACGGGUGAGUAACACGUGAGUAACCUGCCCCAUUCUUUGGAAUAACCAGUGGAAACGCUGGCUAAUGCCGAAUACGACCACCGAAGGCAUCUUCUGGUGGUGGAAAGCUCCGGCGGAAUGGGAUGGACUCGCGGCCUAUCAGCUUGUUGGUGAGGUAAUGGCUCACCAAGGCGACGACGGGUAGCCGGCCUGAGAGGGUGACCGGCCACACUGGGACUGAGACACGGCCCAGACUCCUACGGGAGGCAGCAGUGGGGAAUAUUGCACAAUGGGCGAAAGCCUGAUGCAGCGACGCCGCGUGAGGGAUGACGGCCUUCGGUUGUAACCUCUUCAGCAGGACGAAGCGCAAGUGACGGUCUGCAGAAGAGCGACCGCUAACUACGUGCCGAGCAGCCGCGGUAAUCG
This 480-nucleotide ribosomal RNA is filed under the name uncultured soil bacterium. Its description in RNAcentral is "bacterial SSU rRNA". It matches the Rfam family "Bacterial small subunit ribosomal RNA", at positions 26 to 527 of the family's 1533-position model. The record is from RNAcentral.